Molecule: non-coding RNA, 73 nt
Organism: Podarcis lilfordi (Lilford's wall lizard)
Lineage: Eukaryota; Metazoa; Chordata; Lepidosauria; Squamata; Lacertidae
Source: the annotation of a GenBank genome assembly
GUUGGGAUAGCUCAGUCUAUAGAGCAUGAGACUCUUAAUCUCAGGGCUGCGGGUUCAAGCCCCGUGUUGGGUG